RNAcentral lists this unclassified non-coding RNA (1384 nucleotides) under uncultured Neocallimastigales. Its description in RNAcentral is "partial contains small subunit ribosomal RNA, internal transcribed spacer 1, 5.8S ribosomal RNA, internal transcribed spacer 2, and large subunit ribosomal RNA". The stretch from base 609 to 1384 matches the Rfam family "Eukaryotic large subunit ribosomal RNA", at positions 1 to 628 of the family's 3401-position model. Lineage: Eukaryota; Fungi; Neocallimastigomycota; Neocallimastigomycetes; Neocallimastigales. The record is from RNAcentral.
UUUCCGUAGGUGACCUGCGGAAGGAUCAUUAAAAAAUGAGACCUGAUUCAAGGUCUAUUAAUAAUCCUACCCUUUGUGAAUUUGUUUGUUUUAAUAUGUGUCCUUCCCUGUUUGGUUUGAAGCUUUGUUUAAAAGUUUCGAAACCUUCAGGGGAAUGGCAAAACUUUUUUUUAAAAUUAAACUUUUUGCAUUCAUUUGUCUAAAAUUAUUUUUUUAAUAUAAAAACAACUUUUGACAAUGGAUCUCUUGGUUCUCGCAACGAUGAAGAACGCAGCAAAAUGCGAUAAGUAGUGUGAAUUGCAGAAUACGUGAAUCAUCGAAUCUUCGAACGCAUAUUGCACUUUUUUGGUUUACCAAAAAGUAUGUCUGUUUGAGUAUCAGUAAAAUAUUCUCAUAAAAACUAUUUGUUUUUAUGGUUAUGAGUGUUUUACAACGAUAAACAAGUUGUUUCACUUUAAAUUCUUUGUCUUUUAAAAAAUCGUUAAAAACUGAUUUUUUUUUAAAAUUGGAUAAAAUUUUCCCGUAAAAAGGGAUAACCUAAACAAUUUUAAUUUAAAAUUGGUUUGAUUUCUUUUAAGACUUUAAAGGAAAAAAAGUAAAAAUUAACUUGAUCUCAAAUCAGAUAAGAGUACCCGCGAACUUAAGCAUAUCAAUAAGCGGAGGAAAAGAAACUAACUAGGAUUCCCUCAGUAACGGCGAGUGAAGCGGGAAGAGCUCAAAUUUGAAAUCUUCAAGGUUCUACCUUGACGAAUUGUAGUUUAAAGAAGUGUUUUCUGUUGGAGUUUUGGUAAAAGUUCUUUGGAAUAGGACAUCAUAGAGGGUGAGAAUCCCGUAUUUGACCAUUAUUUCCAACUUUGUGAUACACUUUCAAAGAGUCGGAUUGUUUGGGAAUGCAGUCCAAAAUGGGUGGUAAAUUUCAUCUAAAGCUAAAUACUGGCGAGAGACCGAUAGCGAACAAGUACCGUGAGGGAAAGAUGAAAAGAACUUUGAAAAGAGAGUUAAACAGUACGUGAAAUUGUCAAAAGGGAAGCGUUUGACACCAGUGUUGUUUUCUCGAAAAUCAAUUAAAAAUGGCGGGAUUUUGUGUUGUAUUGACUUUAUCAGCUUUCUGCACUUUUUUUCCUGUCUUUUUUAAUGCACUUUUCGUUUAACAAGUCAACAUCAAUUUCUUUUGUUGUAAAAGGGUCAUUGGAAGGUGGCUUUCUUUUCGGAGAAAGUGUUUAUAGCCUUUGACUCUGCAAUCGGAGAGAUUGAGGUCUGCAGCGUAGAUCCUUCGGGUUAGAUGCAUUUGUGCUAAGCUAUAGCCUUUCAUAGACAACUUGUUGACUAUGAUCAGUCAUGUAGCUUACUCGCUUAUGUCAUUUUACCUACGCUUAGGAUGUUG